RNAcentral lists this ribosomal RNA (466 nucleotides) under uncultured bacterium. RNAcentral describes it as "partial 16S ribosomal RNA". It matches the Rfam family "Bacterial small subunit ribosomal RNA", at positions 339 to 795 of the family's 1533-position model. The record is from RNAcentral.
CUACGGGACGCUGCAGUGGGGAAUAUUGGACAAUGGGGGGAAACCCUGAUCCAGCAAUGCCGCGUGUGUGAAGAAGGCCUGCGGGUUGUAAAGCACUUUCGGUUGGGAGGAUUGCUUCUAGCACUAAUAUUGUUGGAAGUUGACGUUACCUUCAGAAGAAGCACCGGCUAACUCCGUGCCAGCAGCCGCGGUAAUACGGAGGGUGCAAGCGUUAAUCGGAAUUACUGGGCGUAAAGCGCGCGUAGGCGGCUAGAUCAGUCGGGUGUGAAAGCCCCGGGCUUAACCGGGGAACUGCAUCCGAUACUGUCUAGCUUGAGUACAGGAGAGGAGAGUGGAAUUCCACAUGUAGCGGUGAAAUGCGUAGAUAUGUGGAGGAACACCAAUGGCGAAGGCAGCUCUCUGGCCUGAUACUGACGCUGAGGUGCGAAAGCGUGGGGAGCAAGCAGGAUUAGAUACCCGGGUAGUC